RNAcentral lists this ribosomal RNA (660 nucleotides) under uncultured bacterium. Its description in RNAcentral is "bacterial SSU rRNA". It matches the Rfam family "Bacterial small subunit ribosomal RNA", at positions 788 to 1447 of the family's 1533-position model. The record is from RNAcentral.
UGGUAGUCCACGCCCUAAACGAUGUCUACUAGUUGUCGGGUCUUAAUUGACUUGGUAACGCAGCUAACGCGUGAAGUAGACCGCCUGGGGAGUACGGUCGCAAGAUUAAAACUCAAAGGAAUUGACGGGGACCCGCACAAGCGGUGGAUGAUGUGGAUUAAUUCGAUGCAACGCGAAAAACCUUACCUACCCUUGACAUGGAUGGAAUCCCGGAGAGAUUUGGGAGUGCCCGAAAGGGAACCAUCACACAGGUGCUGCAUGGCUGUCGUCAGCUCGUGUCGUGAGAUGUUGGGUUAAGUCCCGCAACGAGCGCAACCCUCGCCUUUAGUUGCUACCAUUUAGUUGAGCACUCUAGAGGAACUGCCGGUGAUAAGCCGGAGGAAGGUGGGGAUGACGUCAAGUCCUCAUGGCCCUUACACGCUGGGCUACACACGUGCUACAAUGGCGGUGACAGUGGGCAGCAAACUCGCGAGAGUGAGCAAAUCCCAAAAAGCCGUCUCAGUUCGGAUUGUUCUCUGCAACUCGAGAGCAUGAAGGCGGAAUCGCUAGUAAUCGCGGAUCAGCAUGCCGCGGUGAAUACGUUCCCAGGCCUUGUACACACCGCCCGUCACACCAUGGGAGUUGGAUUCACCCGAAGGCGUUGCGCUAACUCGCAAGAGA